Molecule: ribosomal RNA, 1085 nt
Filed under: uncultured organism
Description: bacterial SSU rRNA
Rfam family: Bacterial small subunit ribosomal RNA
Source: RNAcentral
UUAAUAUCCCAUAAUAUCCAGAAAACGCAUGUUUUCUGGAUUAAAGUUCCGGCGGUUAAAGAUGGGCAUGCGUGGCAUUAGUUAGUUGGUGAGGUAACGGCUCACCAAGGCAAUGAUGCCUAGGGGUCCUGAGAGGGUUUUCCCCCACACUGGUACUGAGACACGGACCAGACUCCUACGGGAGGCAGCAGUAAGGAAUAUUGGGCAAUAGGCGCAAGCCUGACCCAGCCAUGCCGCGUGCAGGAUGACGGCCCUAUGGGUUGUAAACUGCUUUUGUAUGGGAAAAAACUCCCGCACGUGUGCGGGACUGAUUGUACCAUACGAAUAAGCAUCGGCUAACUCCGUGCCAGCAGCCGCGGUAAUACGGAGGAUGCAAGCGUUAUCCGGAUUUAUUGGGUUUAAAGGGUGCGCAGGCGGAUUAGUAAGUCAGUGGUGAAAGCUCCCGGCUCAACCGGGAAAAUGCCAUUGAUACUGUUAAUCUUGAGUACAGUUGAGGUUGGCGGAAUGUAUCAUGUAGCGGCGAAAUGCAUAGAUAUGAUACAGAACACCGAUAGCGAAGGCAGCUUACCAAACUGUAACCGACGCUCAUGCACGAAAGCGUGGGGAGCAAACAGGAUUAGAUACCCUGGUAGUCCACGCUGUAAACUAUGAUCACUCGCUGUUGGCGAUACACUGUCAGCGGCUUAGCGAAAGUGUUAAGUGAUCCACCUGGGGAGUACGAUCGCAAGGUCGAAACUCAAAGGAAUUGACGGGGGCCCGCACAAGCGGGAGGAGCAUGUGGUUUAAUUCGAUGAUACGCGAGGAACCUUACCUGGGCUUAAAUGCAGAACGACCUCCCGAGAAAUCGGGACUUCCUUCGGGACGGACUGCAAGGUGCUGCAUGGUUGUCGUCAGCUCGUGCCGUGAGGUGUCGGGUUAAGUCCCAUAACGAGCGCAACCCUUAUCCUUAGUUGCCAACAGGUAAUGCUGGGAACUCUAAGGAAACUGCCUACGCAAGUAGUGAGGAAGGUGGGGAUGACGUCAAUCUAGCACGGCCCUUAUGUCCAGGGCUACACACGUGCUACAAUGGUCGGUACAGAGGGCAG